AGGGUAGAAUGGCCGAAGGCCGUAGGCGGCAGGUUGUAAUUCUGUUAAUAUGGGUUUAACUCCUAUUUCUGCCA
Molecule: transfer RNA, 74 nt
Filed under: Pseudothecadactylus australis
Lineage: Eukaryota; Metazoa; Chordata; Lepidosauria; Squamata; Diplodactylidae
Description: partial tRNA-Tyr
Rfam family: tRNA
About the family: Transfer RNA (tRNA) molecules are approximately 80 nucleotides in length. Their secondary structure includes four short double-helical elements and three loops (D, anti-codon, and T loops).
Source: RNAcentral